UACUUGGAAAGGUGCCAUUCA
Molecule: microRNA, 21 nt
Filed under: Cavia porcellus (domestic guinea pig)
Lineage: Eukaryota; Metazoa; Chordata; Mammalia; Rodentia; Caviidae
Description: cpo-miR-506-5p
Gene: cpo-miR-506-5p
Source: miRBase by way of RNAcentral